Long non-coding RNA from Dreissena polymorpha, 1440 nucleotides. RefSeq lists it as uncharacterized. Lineage: Eukaryota; Metazoa; Mollusca; Bivalvia; Myida; Dreissenidae. The record is from RefSeq and is a predicted model, not a curated record. The transcript is spliced from 3 exons.
GAUUUACGGCCUUGUAUGUAAAUCAAUAUUGACAGGACUCGAUUUGUUGAAAGGGAAAUAAAAUCAAUUCGAAUCGGAUUUUCCAAGAUUUAAUGAACAAAGGCUAAGUGCUUAAUUGGUUUUAAUACGGCAACCAUGUACACUGUAAAUUAUUAAAAACUGGUUACUACCUGCUCUUAAUUGUGAGCCGCACCUUGUAAAGAAGCCUUGUUUACACACGGGUCUUAACUUCCGGAUUUUUGCAUUUAAAAAACGAAGUUAAGUACCAUCAUGUCUGUACAGAGCCUGUUUGCGUUCUUUAAAUUCUGGUACCUCCAGUGGGAACUCAGUACGUCCCUAUAUAUGCUGGAACCAGCCGAGAAGGCCAUCAUCCAUACGAUAACGAUCGCGAUUAUAGGCGUUGUCAUUCUGGCGGCAUUGACCUAUUUACCAGGUCAUCUGAUCAUGAUGCUUCAUUUCCUGCACGUUAAUCUCUGGCAGCAAGAAACAUAGAGCGCCUUGCGAACAUAGGAGGGAUUUCAUGUUCUGUUAAUGUCCAUCAUGCCACAGAACGGCAUUGGAUGAAAGCAGCAAAAUCUUACCAACAAUAUAUAAAUAUUAACAAUAAAUACUCUGAAAGCUAGCACAUUCCCGUGUGGUUCACCAUUUGUUACAAGGUAUUUUUUGUUUUUGUUCUUCGUCUUUAUGACAUUUAUUUUGUGUUCAGUAUAUUUAUAAGUAUUUUAUUGAAAGGCAACUAUAAAAUCACGAUUCUUAGCAUAAUAAACAGGUGUUAUAAAAUAAAAUAAAAACAACUACGAUAAAACUGGCCUUGUGGGGCGAAGAACAUUCUAACAUUAUUAUAUUUAUUAAACCGUUGUAUAAGCAAAAUAACUCAAAUAUUACUACAUAUGAGAUGUCUUGGUGGUACUGUGUUUUUCAUGAAAAUUAACAAUUGGCGUCAAUGAACUUUUUCGACAUGUUGCGUAACGAUGUGUUAGGACGCUCAUCUGUUACAUUCACGUCGCCGUAACGCUGCUAUCCGAAUUUGGUCGAAGAGGUGGAUCUACGUGACAAUAUUUUCACUUUCGGAAAGACUCUUGCAUGAAUUUUGCUUCAUUUGUUAAGAUUACUUGAUUGGAUUAAAAAUACAAUUUACCAAGUUUUAUCUGUAUCACGGUACAUGUAUUCUGAAAAUAUAACGCACGCUCUUGGCUGAAGUACGAACAUUUUUUAAGAUGUGUUCUGUACGUGCAUUAUUCACUGUGUUAUUGUAUAAUAUUAAUUAUUUAAUGAACAAAAGGCUAUGAUAAUAUAUUUUAAGAUGAUGCUUACUGUUCCUGUUUCAUUUGUGUGUUUUUUCUGAAUAUAAAUAUAUACUGCUUGUAUUUGUUGAACUUUGUCUUUGUUACCAAAUGAUGCGUAUAAUUUUAUAAUUUUAAAAUAAAAUGCUCAAAUAAC